RNAcentral lists this ribosomal RNA (460 nucleotides) under uncultured Pseudomonas sp. RNAcentral describes it as "bacterial SSU rRNA". It matches the Rfam family "Bacterial small subunit ribosomal RNA", at positions 925 to 1382 of the family's 1533-position model. Lineage: Bacteria; Pseudomonadati; Pseudomonadota; Gammaproteobacteria; Pseudomonadales; Pseudomonadaceae. The record is from RNAcentral.
ACAAGCGGUGGAGCAUGUGGUUUUAAUUCGAUGAUACCGCGACGGUAACCUUACCUGGGCUCAAAUGUAUGUUGACGUAUUCUGAAAGGGAUACUUCUUCGGACAAUAUACAAGGUGCUGCAUGGUUGUCGUCAGCUCGUGCCGUGAGGUGUCGGGUUAAGUCCCAUAACGAGCGCAACCCUUGUCCUUAGUUACCAGCACGUUAUGGUGGGCACUCUAAGGAGACUGCCGGUGACAAACCGGAGGAAGGUGGGGAUGACGUCAAGUCAUCAUGGCCCUUACGGCCUGGGCUACACACGUGCUACAAUGGUCGGUACAAAGGGUUGCCAAGCCGCGAGGUGGAGCUAAUCCCAUAAAACCGAUCGUAGUCCGGAUCGCAGUCUGCAACUCGACUGCGUGAAGUCGGAAUCGCUAGUAAUCGUGAAAUCAGAAUGUCACGGUGAAUACGUUCCCGGGCCUU